This 480-nucleotide ribosomal RNA is filed under the name Aspergillus flavus. RNAcentral describes it as "eukaryotic LSU rRNA". The stretch from base 163 to 316 matches the Rfam family "5.8S ribosomal RNA". Lineage: Eukaryota; Fungi; Ascomycota; Eurotiomycetes; Eurotiales; Aspergillaceae. The record is from RNAcentral.
AGCCCAACCUCCCCACCCGUGUUUACUGUACCUUAGUUGCUUCGGCGGGCCCGCCAUUCAUGGCCGCCGGGGGCUCUCAGCCCCGGGCCCGCGCCCGCCGGAGACACCACGAACUCUGUCUGAUCUAGUGAAGUCUGAGUUGAUUGUAUCGCAAUCAGUUAAAACUUUCAACAAUGGAUCUCUUGGUUCCGGCAUCGAUGAAGAACGCAGCGAAAUGCGAUAACUAGUGUGAAUUGCAGAAUUCCGUGAAUCAUCGAGUCUUUGAACGCACAUUGCGCCCCCUGGUAUUCCGGGGGGCAUGCCUGUCCGAGCGUCAUUGCUGCCCAUCAAGCACGGCUUGUGUGUUGGGUCGUCGUCCCCUCUCCGGGGGGGACGGGCCCCAAAGGCAGCGGCGGCACCGCGUCCGAUCCUCGAGCGUAUGGGGCUUUGUCACCCGCUCUGUAGGCCCGGCCGGCGCUUGCCGAACGCAAAUCAAUCUUU